GGCCCAGACCCCUACGGGAGGCAGCAGUGGGGAAUAUUGCACAAUGGGGGAAGCCCUGAUGCAGCGACGCCGCGUGAGUGAAGAAGUAAUUCGUUAUGUAAAGCUCUAUCAGCAGGGAAGAAAAUGACGGUACCUGAGUAAGAAGCCCCGGCUAACUACGUGCCAGCAGCCGCGGUAAUACGUAGGGGGCAAGCGUUAUCCGGAUUUACUGGGUGUAAAGGGAGCGUAGACGGCGAUGCAAGCCAGAUGUGAAAGCCCGGGGCUCAACCCCGGGACUGCAUUUGGAACUGUGUGGCUGGAGUGUCGGAGAGGCAGGCGGAAUUCCUAGUGUAGCGGUGAAAUGCGUAGAUAUUAGGAGGAACACCAGUGGCGAAGGCGGCCUGCUGGACGAUGACUGACGUUGAGGCUCGAAAGCGUGGGGAGCAAACAGGAUUAGAUACCCCCGUA
RNAcentral lists this ribosomal RNA (447 nucleotides) under uncultured bacterium. RNAcentral describes it as "bacterial SSU rRNA". It matches the Rfam family "Bacterial small subunit ribosomal RNA", at positions 328 to 792 of the family's 1533-position model. The record is from RNAcentral.